Molecule: long non-coding RNA, 434 nt
Filed under: Elaeis guineensis (African oil palm)
Lineage: Eukaryota; Viridiplantae; Streptophyta; Magnoliopsida; Arecales; Arecaceae
Description: long non-coding RNA (EGUI_LNC079448)
Source: RNAcentral
AUAUAUCUCCGAUGAAGCCGCUGGCUUUCGUUCUCCGCCUCUUGACGUCUUUUCCUCAGGACCUUAGAUUUUGCCUUUGCAUCCUUGACUGCCCGUUGCUCAUAUACCAGCUGGAUCUUCAAUUGCUGCAGUUCGGCCUUCUCCUCCCUAAGGGCGACAGAUAGCUCUUCUACGGUUCUUCUCAGAGAUUGGAGUUCGUCGGGGUCCUGAACGGGAGCAAACUGAGCUUCUCCAGCUAGCUGCCUUUGAAGGCGGGUAACCUCGUCGGUCAUCAUCCUGAGCUUCUCCCUAUAGUCGUCCACCUGCUUGCACCAGCCGGCACGGUACGCGUUAUAGCUCACCUCGGCAUUCUGAAGCUGUUCCUAAAGGUCGGAGACCUUCUUCGACCAUUCCCGAUCGCUGUCGGCCCGAGUCAAAAGUCGGGAUGAGCUUCC